UCAUGAAGUUUGAAGAGAUCACCACAUUGCAUAUAUAUGUAAUUAUUACAAGAGUACUUGUGAUUAAUGGUUCAAAAUCUUGAACGUUUGUAUAAUAACACAAUUGUAUAACAGCUGUGGAUGUCCAAGGAAUUAGCUGACCGAAUUACUUUGAAAACCUCAAAUGCUAAUUGUUUAAUGCUAAACGUUAAUUACUUGUUAAAAUGAAAUACAAACUGCAUUUUAAAACAUGAAGCUAAUUGUUCACUGGUGAUCUCCACGUUUUAGGUUGACGUUCUGCUACAACCAGGCAAUGAAGCCACAUACAGUUCUCUUGCUGUACCUGGGAACACUGGUUCUCCCCAUUUCUGAAGGCAAUGAGCUUCCCGAGAACAAAUUCCGUGAGCGCCGGUUCUUGUUUGGAAACAUUUUUGGUGGGGAUAACGACCCUUCUCGUGUGACAGAUAAGGUCCCAGUUUUAGAUGACUCUUCUCUGAUAGACUCAGAAUCCUUUUGUCAAGGUGGUUGUCGUGAUGGCUGGAUCAGUUAUAAGGGCCAAUGCUACAUGUAUGUUCUGGAUCAGAUGACAUGGGAAGAAGCUGAGAGGAGUUGCCAAAGCUAUGCAAUAGGAGGACACUUGACUAGCAUCUCAAGUGCAGAACAUAAUGACUUUCUUGUGAACCUAGCCACACAUCAUGGAGAAAGGACGGCCCAAUUCUGGACAGGUGGAAGCCACCGAAGGGGGUCAUCUCUAAGAUGGACGGAUGGCUCUGUGGCAAAUUUCAUUCAGCGUCCACUGAGCUCACUUCUUCACGUUGUUGGAGAAACUAUUAACAGUAUUCUGAACAUUCGCAUUUGCUUGAAGUUAAAUCUAAGCCUAGGAGGCCAGGGUAACUGGGAUGGCUCUGACUGUAGAAAGAAGCUACCCUUUGUCUGCAGCUACAAGCCUGAUCUGACACCCCCCUAACCUACUGGAGGAAGAUAAUCAGUUACACUUAAUCAGUCAUGUAGUUAAUUUACAAAUUAUUCAUUUAUUUUCUAUGCACAUGUAUACAUUCUUAUUUUCAAAAUGCCAAAGUGUCAUUCAUUAAUGGAAGAAAAGAAUUGACACAAGCCAUUAUUUAGAGCACCACAGAACUUGUACUACUUAAAUAAAGCCUUAUUUGUCUCAAGUGCUUAACGAGAU
This 1165-nucleotide long non-coding RNA is filed under the name Pogona vitticeps (central bearded dragon). RNAcentral describes it as "lncRNA (ENSPVIG00000012607.1)". The record is from RNAcentral. Lineage: Eukaryota; Metazoa; Chordata; Lepidosauria; Squamata; Agamidae.